Cynoglossus semilaevis (tongue sole) is the source of this 3865-nucleotide RNA transcript. It is a transcript of the gene named furin-1-like, with no coding region annotated. Lineage: Eukaryota; Metazoa; Chordata; Actinopteri; Pleuronectiformes; Cynoglossidae. The transcript is spliced from 10 exons. The record is from RefSeq and is a predicted model, not a curated record.
UUUAUUGACUUACAGGAAAUCCUCGUCAGUUUUGACCUCACUGCUACUUAUGGUCUGGUUCAUGACCUCAUGCCUGUCCCCAAUGAGGAGAACAGGUACUGCAGUCCAUGUAGUCUUGGCUGUAAAAAGUGUUGAGUUCAGCAGAUAAACACCACACCCUUUGUCUGUUUUGUUUCUGAUGCCAUACUAAACUCUGAUUUAUUUUUCCUAUUGUGUCAUAUGAAUUUUACUCACUUGAUUUUCUUUCCUUCACCCUAAUCAUCUGCACCAGUCUUGUCACAAUGUGUGUCCAGGUUUAACUCAGGGAUGUUCUCGGGUCAGCACAAUAGAAGGGGGGCUCACAUCUUUCUCAGUGUGUGGCAAACAUCUUUUUCCUUUUCUGUUUCAGUCACGGCACCUGCUGCGCAGGGGAAGUUGCCAUGGAGGCCAACAACUCUUACUGUGGUGUGGGCAUUGCCUUCAAUGCCAGGAUUGGAGGUAUCCAUCUGCUGGGCGGCUCAGUCACUGAUGCCAUGGAGGCCACGGCUCUGACCUUCAACACUAACUUCAUCGACAUCGAUGUGUGCAGUUGGGGCCCGAGGGACGACUAGGCUGAAAUGGAAGGACCACGCAGCCUGACAGAGCGGUCCCUGCAGCUAGGAACUCACAAGGGUCGAGGUGGAAAGGGCAGCAUCUUCGUGUGGGCGGCAGGUAACGGCGGAGUGCGGCACGACCAUUGCGGAGCAGACAGUUAUGUUAACUCCAUCUUCAGCAUCGCCAUCGGCGCCGUCACUCAAACCGGGGGGCCCGCCUACUAUGGCGAGGCUUGCCCGGGGGUCAUGGCUGUCACUCUAACAGGGGCGAAUGUGGGAGGCUCGCUACCUUUGGUGACUGUAACCAACACCGGUGAUGGAUGUGUUACUUACUUUCCAGGAACAUCCAGUGCUGCUCCGAUUGCUGCAGGAAUUCUGGCUCUGGUCCUAGAAGUGAUUCCAGAGCUGACGUGGAGGGAUGUUCAGCAUCUGAUCGCCAAGACAGCAAAGAUUCCCGACCCCAAAGAACCAGGAUGGAACAUAAACGCAGCAGGAUACCACGUCCAUCACAGGAAGAUUUCUGCAAAAGGAAAAGUCAGUGUGAACAUCCACUCAGAGGCUUGUGGAGGGACGACUAAUGAGGUCAACACUCUGGAGCAUGUACAGGUGAGAGUAAGCAUCAGCUCUGUGUGCCGGGGUGACCUCUCCAUCAGCUUGGAGUCUCCAGGAGGCACGGUUUCACUGCUGCUGGAUACCAGACCCAAUGAUGCUUCCACCGAUGGUCUGAGGAACUGGACCCUGAUGACUGCUGGGGGGAGCAGCCCCGAGGACUGUGGACGCUGCAUGUGACUGACCACAAAGGCACGGUGAGGAGCUGUACGAGACCCACUGAAGAGGAGGAGGCCGUCGGAGCUUUGCUCGGUGUUACACUCAUUCUCUAUGGAACCUACCGCCCACACAGGACCAAGCAUGACAAACCACUGAAGACCUUUGUGUCCAUGGGGUCACAUCACCUCAUCCCUGCCGAGGUGCUGCUCCAGAGACACCACUACCCUUGCCUGAAUCUGAUUCAGUGGAUCUACCAAAUGGAGAGAGACAGGAGGGUGCGGGCUGCUGAUAUCACUGUAACCAGACGGCAGGACUCGAAAAAGGACAGAAAUUGUCCAGAAGAUUUUACAAAAUGACCUGAGACGUAUUACGUACCUACAUCUUCAGGUAAGGAGAGGGUGAGGAGGGGGAGGGUUGGGAGUGCUGUUAUGAGAAAUGUUGUACUAUGAGUAAGAAUGUUAGCGCGUUCAUUGUGUUCUUUAGUUGGGCUUUAAUCUAAGAAACAUAGUCAUAUAAUGGGCAACAGAAGAGCACAUUAUUUGUGAGAUGGAGUCACAUCAACAGUAAAUAUCAACAACACCAUUAAGGCUAAAUUCACCAGAGAAAAAACAACUUCAAAUCCCAGUGGUUUCUGCCAGUGUUACUGUUGCUUCUCUUAAUUACGAACCACCGUGCUUGAAAACUGACAGACUAUUGAUUCUCCACCACUGUGUACAAUGGUCAUUUCUUUUUCUGAAAAAACGUUUGUUUUUGUUUUCCUUCAUUUAUUUGGAACUAUGUCCGUGUGUUUAUGCUCCGUACAUGUAUGAAAAAGGACGUUUUUCAGUAAGAUAGACGUUUUUCAAUAGACGAAAUUUUGUGAUUCCUCAAUUUACAUCACAGGCCAAGAAUCAAAAUACAAAAUGUAUGUGCGUUUGUAGCGUGUCAAAAUAGUGACCUAAAAACAAUUACAUGAACUAGUUAUUAUUGCAGUUCUAUUAAAUAUGGAUAUUUAAUCAAAUGUCUAGCUCUGAAAUGACAAUAUUUUCUUCUAUUGUCCGUCGAUCACAGUGGUUGUCCAUGUUUGGGCUGUAAUAUAAAAUAUUGAUGCUAAAAGCAGAAUUUAUUGUACAGGAGAAAGUUUUUUCAGUCUCACUCUUUGUGCCUGAUUUCUGCUGCCUUCACUGUUCUUGCUGUAUUCACUCCACCACAUGAGACUGCCACUGUUCUCAGCUCUUCACCAGCAACAGUGUAUGGCUGUACAUUUUGGCUUGGGAGUUCUCUUUUUUUUCCUUCAUGUCUUUUUAUAGUUUUUCUCGUUCAUAGCGUACACCCCACUGUGCUUCUAUUUUCAUGAAUGCUGUGAGAAAUAAUUGAAAUCGUCGUGUACGCUGCCGUCUGCUGCAGUGAGCUCCCACUUCCUCAUGCCGUGUAAAUACUGUAUCACUGAAACCCCUGCUGUACAACUGCUGGUUUGGGAUUCCUCGCAGCUCUAGGACGUCACUGUAAAACUUGAGCCAAGAUCAAACCAUAGCUGAAGUUUGUUUGUCCUUCUUUCCUUCUCUGAGGAAACAGUGUUGAGUCAGUUUCCUCAGAACAGCUCUCAUUCAUUCUAAAUCCAUCGACACUCUCUCUCGCGCUCACUUGCUCUCCCCCUCUCUCUAUCUCUUUUUCUCCCACUCAUUACAUCCAUAAGGAGAAGGAAUUGGUGUCAACCGAGUCACAACCCCUGCUGCAAGUGGUGUGAAAUGGAACAGACGGAGGACCUCAAAGAGUCUCAACACAAAUGAAUAAUGUUCCACAACAACUAUAAAUAAAAUAAUGGCUUUUUUCAGGAGCAGAUUAAAGGUCUAAUUCACAGCUUUAUCUCAUGAAUGUCAGGAUAUUAGUCUUGUUGUGAAACAGCUGUAUAUAUUGUUUUCCCUGUCUGUGGCGGUUGGAGGGGAAAAGAAUGUUGUGUCAUCAGAUUAGGGAGAGAGAGCUUGUAGCGAUACAAUACAUUUUAAGUAGUGGUUGUCAAAGUUUGAAAUUGUUAUCAGUAUGUUGUUAAAAAGACAUUUACUGGUGAAUAUCUUCAUAUAAAUUAUGACACAACAGAAAAUGUUCAUACUUUUACUAUAGUAUAUUACUAUACUCAACUACACUCUACAAUACUAGACUACAACGGACUGAACUAAUAGUAUCGUAUACUGUGUAUACACAUAUAUGAAUGUGUUAUAGUAUAUAAAAUACUUUACUAUACGGUGUAUCACUAAACUGUGUUAUACUCUACUAAAUUAUAUGAUACUAUGCUAGUGUAUGUUAUGGUAUUGCCGUAUUAUGAUAUAUUACUACUUACGACAGUCUGAGCUCCUGCAUAAAUUACAUUUUAGUUUAAGCAUUUAUUUUAGGUCCAGUUUAUAGUUUUUCACAACAUCAUGCUCUAAAAUAUAACAUUUUUGUAUACACUACAACAAGUACUUCAGAAGCCUUGACAGAAGUCUCCCUUCAACAAAGGGUUUAAAGAAAUGUAUACACUUUUAGAUCAUACAAAAUAAGAGAUCAAG